UAUUCGUGUGUUCGUAUGAAUGAGUGUAUGUGUGUAUAUAUCAGCGUCUGGGUCUAUACCGUGUUUAAAAAAAAAAGAAAAAAGAAGAACGCACGUGUUUGCGCCGUACAGGAACCAGUUGAGCUUGACCACACUCAGCGAAGGUCAAAACCGCAGGACCCCGCCACGCGUUCGAGCAAAUGCCGCCCCCGCCACCGCUCCGCUCGCCUCCGAGCGGCGGCCCUUACACCGCCGCGCCGCCGUCGCCGUCGCGCGCGGCCGAGCAGCACUGCCUGCGCCUCCUGGAGCGCGCCACGACGCCCAGUUCCCUCCUCCAGCCCCUCGCAUUCCUCCUCAAGCGCGGCCUCCACGCCAACCCGCUGGUCCUCACCAGGCUCUUCGCGGCCGCGGCCUCCGCGGCCCCCGCGCUCCUCGAGCCCCUCGUCGCGGCGCUCCUCCGCCCGGGCCUCCCGCUCGACGCCUUCCUCGUCAACACCCUCAUCCGCGCCCACGUCGCCUCCCCGCUCCCCUCCGCGCGCCGCGCCGCCGCGGCCUUCUUCCCGCUGAUGCUCCGCCGCGGCGUCGCCCCCAACAAGUUCACCUUCCCGUUCCUCCUCAAGUCCUGCGCCGCGACGCCGGGGUCCCCGGCCGCCGGCCUCCAGGCCCACGCCGCCGCCCUCAAGUUCGGGUUCGCCGCGGACCACUACGUCUCCAACACGCUCAUACACAUGUACUCCUGCUUCGGGGCCGGGUUCCUCGGGGACGCGCGGAACGUGUUCGACAGAACGCCCAGGGACAGCGCCGUCACCUGGAGCGCCAUGAUCGGCGGGUACGUGCGUGGGGGGCUGUCGAGUGAUGCCGUCGUGCUGUUCCGGGAGAUGCAGGCCAGCGGAGUGCGGCCGGAUGAGGUGACGGUCCUCGGGAUCCUUUCGGCCGCCGCUGAUUUGGGUGCGCUCGAGCUCACGCGGUGGGUUGAGCGGUUCGUGGCGAGGGAGGGAAUUGGGAGGUCUGUGACGCUGUGCAAUGCGCUGAUCGACACGCUCGCCAAGUGCGGGGAUGUCGAUGGGGCAGUGGCUGUGUUCGAGGGGAUGGAGGAGCGGACUGUUGUGUCAUGGACAUCGGUGAUUGAUGCACUUGCAAUGGAGGGCCGUGGGAAGGAGGCUGUGGGGGUGUUCGAGGAAAUGAAGGCUGUCGGUGUGCCGCCUGAUGAUGUCGCGUUCAUCGGGGUGCUCACUGCAUGUAGCCAUGCUGGAAUGGUUGAUGAAGGCCGUGGCUACUUUGACUCAAUGAAGACAGAGCAUGGUAUUGAGCCUAAGAUCGAGCAUUAUGGUUGUAUGGUCGACAUGUUUGGUCGCGCCGGCAUGGUUGAGCAUGGGUUGGAGUUUGUUCGCGCGAUGCCCAUGAAACCGAACCCAAUAAUUUGGCGGACUCUAGUUGCUGCUUGUCGUGCUCAUGGUCGGCUCGAGCUCAGUGAAAGCAUCAGCAGGGACCUUCUUAAGGAGUACCCUGCUCAUGAGGCCAACUACGUCAUGCUCUCCAACGUGUUCGCGUUGACGCAGAGAUGGAAGGAGAAGUCAGAGAUUAGGAGAGAGAUGAGUAAGAGAGGAAUCACAAAGGUGCCGGGCUGCAGCCUUGUUGAGCUUGAUGGAGAGGUCCAUGAGUUCAUAGCAGGAGAUGAGUCGCAUCCGCAGUACAAGGAGAUAUACAGGAUGGUUGAGGAGAUGUCAAGAGAGCUAAGACGCAUUGGGCAUAUUGCAGCCACAUCAGAGGUCCUCCUUGACCUUGAUGAGGAGGACAAGGAGGGUGCGCUUCAGUGGCACAGUGAGAAGCUGGCAAUUGCAUUCGUGCUCCUGAGGACUCCUCCUGGAACACAGGUCCGGGUGGUAAAAAACCUGCGUGUAUGCUCCGAUUGUCAUGCGGCAAUUAAGUGCAUAUCGCAGGUUUAUAACCGGGAGAUCAUAGUGCGUGACAGGAGUCGUUUCCAUCGCUUCAAGGAUGGUUCCUGCUCGUGCAAGGAUUUCUGGUGAUUGGAAUUGUGUUUCACCAGGUAUCCUGUUUCUGAUGGUGCAGUGAAGAGUGGAUUCAACUUCAACAGCACAUGCAGGGGCAGAUAAAUGCAUGUCUUCUGCUCUCUCAGUGGCCUCUCUGAGUUUCUUUGGCACUAUUCUAAGCCUUUUCUCAACUAUCUCAUUCUCCAUUGCUUCUUCAUUCAUGCAGUGAGUUUGUAACUUACCAUGCAUCUAUGAACUGUCUGCCAUCUCUAUGAUGUUGCUGAUCUCGGCCAAUGCUUUGAAGCUUUCCCUGUUCUUGUACGCCCUUGCCUUCUCAUUAUUGCAGGGAGCUGUUAAGUCAAUCUCAGCCUCCUUGCGCAAGUGAUCGCAUCAUCAUUCACUACAGGGACUACAUGGACAUGCUAGCAGGGAAUACUCAUGUUUGGCUUAAACAUGGGAAGGAAAUUACAACCAGCUGAGGGCUGAAGCAUUCCAUGUCUCCAGCUAGGCUCUCCACAAUAUGCACAAGAAGCAGAGGACUUUGUCAACUUCAAAGUCAUAUUGCGCAGUCUAUUUGCUGGUUCUGAUGGCGGUGAGGGUGACGCGGCCUUGUUCCUAACUUUCUGGAUGGUAUCAGCAAAGUGCGCUAGCAUGAUAGGAUUUGAUGUCUCGCAGUUCUGUGAUGUCAAUGGCUAUGCUGAUCUUAGCCAAGGCUUAGCCUUUGCACAAGCUUAAUCAGUUCCUGGAGCUCUUGAUCAGCCGCUGUUUCAGCCAAGAAAACAUCCACUUUGACAUGAAGCUCCUCUGGUGAUGUCAACACAUGCGGUGAAUCCCCAAACUGGCCUGAUGAUUGGUGGUAACCACACAGCGCCUCCAUUGAGGAUAAGUGAGGCAUCUAGUCUGAGCAAUCCUAUGAACUCCCUGAUGUUCUUCGAUGCCUUUUCAAGUGCUUCCACGGUGCUCCUCAGCUUGUCCUUAGCGCUAGAGAAGAGCGCCACCGAAGUGGUGCCGAUGCAUCAUGCCAUGCUGGAGCACACAUUUCUCGUGAAAUGCAGAGUGGUACUACUAGCACCAUGCUGGUCAUCGUUUUUUCAGUGAGCGGCUUUGUCUGUUGCAUGAUGUUUGAACCUGAGAAGCACCUCGUCACCAUGGGCGGCAGCCUCCUUGAGCUUCUCCCGCCACUGGACUAGCGUGGUACUUUUUAUGAUCUGCUUCGCUCACACCUCGACCGUGCUGUGGAUCCUCAUGAGGAGCAGCUCCAGCCUCUGCAGCUUCUCAUCAGCGGCCAUCUGCCAGUUGAAGUUCUACAGGAACUUGGACACUGCCCUGUCCUGUCACCACGGUGGCCACUGCUGCAGCAUUGGUGGCAACCACUUGUGCCAUGGCUAGCUCUCAAACAAGGCUAAUAUGGAAGACUCGUGUUUGGCUUAACAUGGGGAUGGAAUUGAUGGGGCUAACAGAAUGAAGUCAACCGGCUCAUGGGCCGAAGCAUUCCAUGUCCCCAGCUGCUAGGCUCUAUGGUAUGCACAAAGCCGUGAAAUUCAUCAGUGGCUGUGGCCUGAGUGACGGCGAGGUCCGUCGGCCUUCUGCCACCCAUUGCACAGUUCAACGGUAUUAAUGGCCAUGCAGAUCCUAGCCAAGGCCCUUUAAGCGGGGGUUUGUCAGUUCCUGGAGCUACUGGCCACCUGCUGUUUCAGCCAAGGAAAUAUGCACCUUGAAGCUUAUCUGUUGAUGUCAGCAUGUAUAGGGCGAAUCCUCAAAUUGACCAUGAUGCAUGUGGUAACAACCAUAUAUACAACAUCUUUGCUUGAGGUUCGAGAUGACCUCUUGUUGGAGCAGUAUUGUCCGUCACCUUCUCAAGCGCUUCUACUGUGCUGUUGAGCUUCUUCAUGUUCUCAUCGCUGGAAAAGGGUGACACCACAGUGGUGCAGCGUACUACUGGUGCCAUGCUAGGCUUCGCUGUUCCAGUGAGUGGCUUCUGUGACGCCCGGUGCACGAGGCUUGAAAGGCUUGAAGCUGAGAAGCACCUCGUCGCCAUGGGAGGCAGCCUUCCUUGAGCUUCUCCAGCCAUUGGACCAGCCUGGUGCUCUUGAUCGUGUGCUUCUCCAACAUCUCAAUCUGCGAAUUCUGAUGGGAACAGCUGCCAUCUUCAGGUUGAGCUUCUCCAGGAAUUUGGACAUUGCUGGACUAUAGCGGUGAUGGUACUACCGUCUACCAACCACUUCCUGGGCCAUGGCUAGCACUCAAACAGGGUAAGUCGCUGACCAGAGCCUCUCAUGUCCCGAUAUACAUAAAAUUAAUGUUUCUUUUGACUGUCCAUCUUAACUGAGAUAAAAUUAGAGUCAGCGACACAAACUAGGUAUGCACAUAGUUGGUUUUAUUCACCCUAAGCCAGGUCGUCUAGCACUAAGAAAAGAAGAACAUGGAUUAGACGGACACAACAAUACCUAGCUGCUCAAAUAUUAAACAACCCAAGACUGACAUGUCCAUAUAUAGUAGUUCAUGCAAAACUGCCAUGAAAAAGAUAUUACAUGCAAAACUGCCAUGAAAAAGACAUUACAUGCAAAACUGUAGAUAUAUGCUUCGCUGUCACCACAAGAAACCACCUCGGUGUUACCUGUCAUUCCUGUAAUGGAUGCAACUUAUCUCUGUAUGUAUGUAUGUAUGUAUAUAUGUAUGUAUCUCUGUAUGUAUGACCAAUACUAAUUAAUACUCCUUAACAAUUCCUUCCACUGGAUGGCUGCCCAUUGCGAGAGAAAAUAAUGAUGCAAAGCCUUUGAAGUCCAUUUCCCAUCUUGCUGGCCCUGCCCAAUGUGCCCAUACAAAGUACUCCCUCCGCCCGAAAAU
RNA transcript from Triticum aestivum (bread wheat), 4817 nucleotides. It is a transcript of the gene named pentatricopeptide repeat-containing protein At4g21065, with no coding region annotated. Lineage: Eukaryota; Viridiplantae; Streptophyta; Magnoliopsida; Poales; Poaceae. The transcript has 4 exons. The record is from RefSeq and is a predicted model, not a curated record.